UACGUAGGGGGCAAGCGUUGUCCGGAAUUACUGGGCGUAAAGGGUUCGUAGGUGGCUUGUUAAGUCAGACGUGAAAUCCCUCGGCUCAACCGGGGAACUGCGUCUGAGACUGAUGAGCUCGAGCGCAGGAGAGGAACGCGGAAUUCCAGGUGUAGCGGUGAAAUGCGUAGAUAUCUGGAGGAACACCGGUGGCGAAGGCGGCUCACUGGCCCGAUACUGACGCUGAGGCACGAAAGCGUGGGGAGCAAACAGG
This 253-nucleotide ribosomal RNA is filed under the name uncultured bacterium. RNAcentral describes it as "partial 16S ribosomal RNA". It matches the Rfam family "Bacterial small subunit ribosomal RNA", at positions 524 to 776 of the family's 1533-position model. The record is from RNAcentral.